AUUGAGAGUUUGAUCCUGGCUCAGGAUGAACGCUAGCUACAGGCUUAACACAUGCAAGUCGAGGGGCAGCGGGGCUGAAGCUUGCUUCAGCUGCCGGCGACCGGCGCACGGGUGAGUAACACGUAUCCAACCUGCCAUUCACUCCCGGAUAGCCUUCUGAAAGGAAGAUUAAUACGGGAUGGUAUCACGAGUCAGCAUUUUCGCGUGAUUAAAGAAUUUCGGUGGAUGAUGGGGAUGCGUUCCAUUAGGCAGUUGGCGGGGUAACGGCCCACCAAACCGACGAUGGAUAGGGGUUCUGAGAGGAAGGUCCCCCACAUUGGAACUGAGACACGGUCCAAACUCCUACGGGAGGCAGCAGUGAGGAAUAUUGGUCAAUGGACGAGAGUCUGAACCAGCCAAGUAGCGUGAAGGAUGACUGCCCUAUGGGUUGUAAACUUCUUUUAUACGGGAAUAAAGUGAGGUACGUGUACCUUUUUGUAUGUACCGUAUGAAUAAGGAUCGGCUAACUCCGUGCCAGCAGCCGCGGUAAUACGGAGGAUCCGAGCGUUAUCCGGAUUUAUUGGGUUUAAAGGGAGCGUAGAUGGGCGUUUAAGUCAGUUGUGAAAGUUUGCGGCUCAACCGUAAAAUUGCAGUUGAUACUGGACGCCUUGAGUGCAGUUGAGGCAGGCGGAAUUCGUGGUGUAGCGGUGAAAUGCUUAGAUAUCACGAAGAACUCCGAUUGCGAAGGCAGCCUGCUAAGCUGUAACUGACAUUGAGGCUCGAAAGUGUGGGUAUCAAACAGGAUUAGAUACCCUGGUAGUCCACACGGUAAACGAUGAAUACUCGCUGUUGGCGAUAUACGGUCAGCGGCCAAGCGAAAGCAUUAAGUAUUCCACCUGGGGAGUACGCCGGCAACGGUGAAACUCAAAGGAAUUGACGGGGGCCCGCACAAGCGGAGGAACAUGUGGUUUAAUUCGAAGCAACGCGAAGAACCUUACCAAGGCUUGACAUCCCGAUGACCGCUCUAGAGAUAGAGCUUCUCUUCGGAGCAUCGGUGACAGGUGGUGCAUGGUUGUCGUCAGCUCGUGUCGUGAGAUGUUGGGUUAAGUCCCGCAACGAGCGCAACCCCUAUCUUCAGUAGCCAUCAUUGAGUUGGGCACUCUGGAGAGACUGCCGUGGAUAACACGGAGGAAGGUGGGGAUGACGUCAAAUCAUCAUGCCCCUUAUGUCUUGGGCUACACACGUGCUACAAUGGCUGGUAACAAAGUGAAGCGAGACGGCGACGUUCAGCAAAUCACAAAAACCCAGUCCCAGUUCAGAUUGUAGUCUGCAACUCGACUACAUGAAGCUGGAAUCGCUAGUAAUCGCGAAUCAGCAUGUCGCGGUGAAUACGUUCCCGGGCCUUGUACACACCGCCCGUCACACCAUGGGAGUUGGAAGCACCCGAAGUCGGUGACCUAACCGUAAGGAAGGAGCCGCCGAAGGUGAAGCCAGUGACUGGGGUGAAGUCGUAACAAGGUAGCCGUAAAU
This 1509-nucleotide ribosomal RNA is filed under the name uncultured bacterium. RNAcentral describes it as "partial 16S ribosomal RNA". It matches the Rfam family "Bacterial small subunit ribosomal RNA". The record is from RNAcentral.